GAUGAACGCUGGCGGCGUGCCUAAUACAUGCAAGUAGAACGCUGAAGGAGGAGCUUGCUCUUCUGGAUGAGUUGCGAACGGGUGAGUAACGCGUAGGUAACCUGCCUGGUAGCGGGGGAUAACUAUUGGAAACGAUAGCUAAUACCGCAUGACAACAGUUAUUGCAUGAUAACUGUUUAAAAGGGGCAACUGCUCCACUACCAGAUGGACCUGCGUUGUAUUAGCUAGUUGGUGAGGUAACGGCUCACCAAGGCGACGAUACAUAGCCGACCUGAGAGGGUACGAGGCAAAGCUGAGACGGGGGCACGGCCCAGAAUCCUGCGGGAGGCAGCAGUAGGGAAUCUUUGGCAAUGGAAGGAAGGCUGAACGAGCAACGCCGGGUGAGAGAAGGAGGUUGUCGGGUCGUAAAGCUCUGUUGUUAGAGAAGAACGAGUGUGAGAGUGAAAAGUUCACACUGUGACGGUAUCUGACCAGAAAGGGACGGCUAACUACGUG
Molecule: ribosomal RNA, 495 nt
Filed under: uncultured bacterium
Lineage: Bacteria
Description: partial 16S ribosomal RNA
Rfam family: Bacterial small subunit ribosomal RNA
Source: RNAcentral